AGUAAAAGUCGUAACAAGGUUUCCGUAGGUGAACCUGCGGAAGGAUCAUUAAAAAAUUGGACUCCAUUGGUGAGUUCAUUAAUAAUCCCUACCCUUUGUGAAUUUGUUUGUUUGAAUAAUUUUUUUUCCAAAAAAAAUUAUUGAAUGUCUUUCCCUGUUUUGGUGGAGCUUGUAAAGUGAAACCAGGCAGGGGAAUGGCAAACAAUAAUUAUUUUUUGAAAAAAGACCUUUUUUAAAAUUAAACUUUUUGUAUUCAUUUGUCUAAAAUUAUUUUUAUAAUAUAAAAACAACUUUUGACAAUGGAUCUCUUGGUUCUCGCAACGAUGAAGAACGCAGCAAAAUGCGAUAAGUAGUGUGAAUUGCAGAAUACGUGAAUCAUCGAAUCUUCGAACGCAUAUUGCACUUUUUUAGUUUACUAAAAAAGUAUGUCUGUUUGAGUAUCAGUAAGAUAUUCUCAUAAAAAACAUUGUUUUUUUAUGGUCAUGAGUGUUUUACAACGAUAACAAGUUGUUUCACUUUAAAUUCUUUGUUAUCAAAAAAAUCAUUAAAAGCUAAUUUUAAAGAUUUUUUAAAAUUGGAUAAAAUUUUCCCGUAAAAAGGAAUAACCUAAACAAUUUUAAAAAAUUAAAAUUGGUUUGAUUUCUUUUGAAACCCAAAGGAAAAAAAAACGAAAUUAACUUGAUCUCAAAUCAGAUAAGAGUACCCGCUGAACUUAAGCAUAUCAAUAAGCGGAGGAAAAGAAACUAACUAGGAUUCCCUCAGUAACGGCGAGUGAAGCGGGAAGAGCUCAAAUUUGAAAUCUUCAAGGUUUUACCUUGACGAAUUGUAGUUUAAAGAAGUGUUUUCUGUUGGAGUUUUGGUAAAAGUUCUUUGGAAAAGGACAUCAUAGAGGGUGAGAAUCCCGUAUUUGACCAUUAUCUCCAGCUUUGUGAUACACUUACAAAGAGUCGGAUUGUUUGGGAAUGCAGUCCAAAAUGGUGGUAAAUUUCAUCUAAAGCUAAAUACUGGCGAGAGACCGAUAGCGAACAAGUACCGUGAGGGAAAGAUGAAAAGAACUUUGAAAAGAGAGUUAAACAGUACGUGAAAUUGUCAAAAGGGAAGCGUUUGACACCAGUGUUGUUGUGGAGAAAUCAAUUGUGUGGAACGGGUUGUUGUGGGGUUGAGACCUUAUCAGCUCUCCUUACUCUUUACCUUUUUCACGCAAUGCACUUUCUCUUUAACAAGUCAACAUCAAUUUCUUUUGUUGUAAAAGGGUCAGCGGAAGGUGGCUUUCUUUUCGGAGAAAGUGUUUAUAGCCGUUGAUCUCUACAAUCGGAGAGAUUGAGGUCUGCAACGUAGAUCCUUCGGGGUUAGAUACGUCGGUGCUAAGUUAUAAUCCUAUAUAGACAACUUGUUGACUAUAUUCGAUCAUGUAGCUUACUCGCUGACGCUAUUUUACCUACGCUUAGGAUGUUGA
RNAcentral lists this unclassified non-coding RNA (1456 nucleotides) under uncultured Neocallimastigales. RNAcentral describes it as "partial contains small subunit ribosomal RNA, internal transcribed spacer 1, 5.8S ribosomal RNA, internal transcribed spacer 2, and large subunit ribosomal RNA". The stretch from base 680 to 1456 matches the Rfam family "Eukaryotic large subunit ribosomal RNA", at positions 1 to 629 of the family's 3401-position model. Lineage: Eukaryota; Fungi; Neocallimastigomycota; Neocallimastigomycetes; Neocallimastigales. The record is from RNAcentral.